UCAUCUUUAGUAGAAUUUGUUUUAUAUUAUCUUGAUAAGGUAAAGUUAAUAAGAUGAA
This 58-nucleotide transfer RNA is filed under the name Angiostrongylus costaricensis. Its description in RNAcentral is "tRNA-Ile". The record is from RNAcentral. Lineage: Eukaryota; Metazoa; Nematoda; Chromadorea; Rhabditida; Metastrongylidae.